Molecule: ribosomal RNA, 254 nt
Filed under: uncultured bacterium
Lineage: Bacteria
Description: partial 16S ribosomal RNA
Rfam family: Bacterial small subunit ribosomal RNA
Source: RNAcentral
UACAGAGGUCUCAACCGUUGUUCGGAUUCAUUGGGCGUAAAGGGUGCGUAGGCGGUCGCGCAAGUCGGAUGUGAAAUCUCAGGGCUCAACCCUGAAACUGCAUUCGAUACUGCGUGGCUAGAGUGCUGGAGAGGAGACUGGAAUUUACGGUGUAGCAGUGAAAUGCGUAGAUAUCGUAAGGAAGACCAGUGGCGAAGGCGAGUCUCUGGACAGCAACUGACGCUGAGGCACGAAGGCCAGGGGAGCAAAGCGGG